UGGGGAAUUUUGGACAAUGGGCGAAAGCCUGAUCCAGCAAUGCCGCGUGCGUGAAGAAGGCCUUCGGGUUGUAAAGCACUUUUGUCCGGAAAGAAAUGGCUCUGGUUAAUACCUGGGGUCGAUGACGGUACCGGAAGAAUAAGGACCGGCUAACUACGUGCCAGCAGCCGCGGUAAUAUGUAGGGUCCAAGCGUUAAUCGGAAUUACUGGGCGUAAAGCGUGAGCAGGCGGUUGUGCAAGACCGAUGUGAAAUCCCCGAGCUUAACUUGGGAAUUGCAUUGGUGACUGCACGGCUAGAGUGUGUCAGAGGGGGGUAGAAUUCCACGUGUAGCAGUGAAAUGCGUAGAGAUGUGGAGGAAUACCGAUGGCGAAGGCAGCCCCCUGGGAUAACACUGACGCUCAUGCACGAAAGCGUGGGGAGCAAACA
Molecule: ribosomal RNA, 427 nt
Filed under: uncultured bacterium
Lineage: Bacteria
Description: bacterial SSU rRNA
Rfam family: Bacterial small subunit ribosomal RNA
Source: RNAcentral